RNAcentral lists this ribosomal RNA (1536 nucleotides) under Bifidobacterium pseudocatenulatum. RNAcentral describes it as "bacterial SSU rRNA". It matches the Rfam family "Bacterial small subunit ribosomal RNA". Lineage: Bacteria; Bacillati; Actinomycetota; Actinomycetes; Bifidobacteriales; Bifidobacteriaceae. The record is from RNAcentral.
UUUUGUGGAGGGUUCGAUUCUGGCUCAGGAUGAACGCUGGCGGCGUGCUUAACACAUGCAAGUCGAACGGGAUCCAUCAGGCUUUGCUUGGUGGUGAGAGUGGCGAACGGGUGAGUAAUGCGUGACCGACCUGCCCCAUACACCGGAAUAGCUCCUGGAAACGGGUGGUAAUGCCGGAUGCUCCGACUCCUCGCAUGGGGUGUCGGGAAAGAUUUCAUCGGUAUGGGAUGGGGUCGCGUCCUAUCAGGUAGUCGGCGGGGUAACGGCCCACCGAGCCUACGACGGGUAGCCGGCCUGAGAGGGCGACCGGCCACAUUGGGACUGAGAUACGGCCCAGACUCCUACGGGAGGCAGCAGUGGGGAAUAUUGCACAAUGGGCGCAAGCCUGAUGCAGCGACGCCGCGUGCGGGAUGACGGCCUUCGGGUUGUAAACCGCUUUUGAUCGGGAGCAAGCCUCGGGUGAGUGUACCUUUCGAAUAAGCACCGGCUAACUACGUGCCAGCAGCCGCGGUAAUACGUAGGGUGCAAGCGUUAUCCGGAAUUAUUGGGCGUAAAGGGCUCGUAGGCGGUUCGUCGCGUCCGGUGUGAAAGUCCAUCGCUUAACGGUGGAUCUGCGCCGGGUACGGGCGGGCUGGAGUGCGGUAGGGGAGACUGGAAUUCCCGGUGUAACGGUGGAAUGUGUAGAUAUCGGGAAGAACACCAAUGGCGAAGGCAGGUCUCUGGGCCGUUACUGACGCUGAGGAGCGAAAGCGUGGGGAGCGAACAGGAUUAGAUACCCUGGUAGUCCACGCCGUAAACGGUGGAUGCUGGAUGUGGGGCCCGUUCCACGGGUUCCGUGUCGGAGCUAACGCGUUAAGCAUCCCGCCUGGGGAGUACGGCCGCAAGGCUAAAACUCAAAGAAAUUGACGGGGGCCCGCACAAGCGGCGGAGCAUGCGGAUUAAUUCGAUGCAACGCGAAGAACCUUACCUGGGCUUGACAUGUUCCCGACAGCCGUAGAGAUAUGGCCUCCCUUCGGGGCGGGUUCACAGGUGGUGCAUGGUCGUCGUCAGCUCGUGUCGUGAGAUGUUGGGUUAAGUCCCGCAACGAGCGCAACCCUCGCCCUGUGUUGCCAGCACGUCAUGGUGGGAACUCACGGGGGACCGCCGGGGUCAACUCGGAGGAAGGUGGGGAUGACGUCAGAUCAUCAUGCCCCUUACGUCCAGGGCUUCACGCAUGCUACAAUGGCCGGUACAACGGGAUGCGACACGGCGACGUGGAGCGGAUCCCUGAAAACCGGUCUCAGUUCGGAUUGGAGUCUGCAACCCGACUCCAUGAAGGCGGAGUCGCUAGUAAUCGCGGAUCAGCAACGCCGCGGUGAAUGCGUUCCCGGGCCUUGUACACACCGCCCGUCAAGUCAUGAAAGUGGGUAGCACCCGAAGCCGGUGGCCUAACCCUUUGUGGAUGGAGCCGUCUAAGGUGAGACUCGUGAUUGGGACUAAGUCGUAACAAGGUAGCCGUACCGGAAGGUGCGGCUGGAUCACCUCCUUUCUACGGAG